RNAcentral lists this ribosomal RNA (403 nucleotides) under Fusobacteriota bacterium. Its description in RNAcentral is "Fusobacteria bacterium partial 16S ribosomal RNA". It matches the Rfam family "Bacterial small subunit ribosomal RNA", at positions 355 to 776 of the family's 1533-position model. Lineage: Bacteria; Fusobacteriati; Fusobacteriota. The record is from RNAcentral.
UGGGGAAUCUUGCACAAUGUGGGAAACCCUGAUGCAGCGACGCCGCGUGAGCGAUGAAGGUUUUCGAAUCGUAAAGCUCUGUCCUAUGGGAAGAUAAUGACGGUACCAUGGGAGGAAGCCCCGGCUAACUACGUGCCAGCAGCCGCGGUAAUACGUAGGGGGCGAGCGUUGUCCGGAAUUACUGGGCGUAAAGGGUUCGCAGGCGGCAUGGCAAGUCCGAUGUAAAAGGCGAAGGCUCAACCUUCGUAAGCAUCGGAAACUGUCAAGCUUGAGUGAAGGAGAGGCAAGUGGAGUUCCUAGUGUAGCGGUGGAAUGCGUAGAUAUUAGGAGGAAUACCGGUGGCGAAGGCGACUUGCUGGACUUCAACUGACGCUGAGGAACGAAAGCGUGGGUAGCAAACAGG